UAAGCGGUAUACCGAAGCUUAGGGUGCACACUUUGUGUGCGCGGUAGAGGAGCGUUCCGUAAGCCUGUGAAGGUGGAUCGUAAGGUCUGCUGGAGGUAUCGGAAGUGCGAAUGCUGACAUGAGUAACGAUAAUGCGGGUGAAAAGCCCGCACGCCGAAAGCCCAAGGUUUCCUUGCGCAACGUUAAUCGACGCAGGGUAAGUCGGCCCCUAAGGCGAGGGCGAAAGCCGUAGUCGAUGGGAAGCUGGUUAAUAUUCCAGCACCGUUUGUAGCUGCGAUGGGGUGACGGAGAAGGGUAGGUGUACCGGGCGUUGGUUGUCCCGGGGAAAGGCGGUAGGCAUGGAUCUUAGGCAAAUCCGGGAUCCUUUAUGCCGAGCACCGAGACGAGUCCUUUUGGACGAAGUCACUGAUCCCACGCUUCCAGGAAAAACCUCUAAGCUUCAGGCUGCAACGACCGUACCGUAAACCGACACAGGUAGGCAGGGUGAGAAUCCCCAGGCGCUUGAGAGAACUCGGGUGAAGGAACUAGGCAACAUAGCACCGUAACUUCGGGAGAAGGUGCGCCCCAGCGUGUGGUGAUAUGCAUCACUGAGCAUGCCGGGGCCGCAGUGACCAGGCCGCUGCGACUGUUUAUCAAAAACACAGCACUCUGCAAACACGAAAGUGGACGUAUAGGGUGUGACGCCUGCCCGGUGC
Molecule: ribosomal RNA, 695 nt
Filed under: Dehalococcoidia bacterium
Lineage: Bacteria; Bacillati; Chloroflexota; Dehalococcoidia
Description: partial 23S ribosomal RNA
Rfam family: Bacterial large subunit ribosomal RNA
Source: RNAcentral